GAUGAAGAACGCAGCGAAAUGCGAUAAGUAAUGUGAAUUGCAGAAUUCAGUGAAUCAUCGAAUCAUUGAACGCACAUUGCGCCCCCUGGUAUUCCGGGGGGCAUGCCUGUCCGAGCGUCAUUACAACCCUCAAGCUCAGCUUGGUGUUGGGCCCCGCCGCCCCGGCGGGCCCUAAAGUCAGUGGCGGUGCCGUCCGGCUCCGAGCGUAGUAAUUCUUCUCGCUCUGGAGGUCCGGUCGUGUGCUCGCCAGCAACCCCCAAUUUUUUUCAGGUUGACCUCGGAUCAGGUAGGGAUACCCGCUGAACUUAAGCAUAUCAAUAAGCGGAGGA
Molecule: unclassified non-coding RNA, 329 nt
Filed under: soil metagenome
Description: partial contains 5.8S ribosomal RNA, internal transcribed spacer 2, and large subunit ribosomal RNA
Rfam family: 5.8S ribosomal RNA (bases 1-120)
Source: RNAcentral